CCGCUCUUGGUGCGCCUGCGCCGGGGCAGCCACGUGACGCGCAGCUCUGCAGGGAACACGCGUCCCGCCGCGCGCCCUGCUCUCCGAGUCCCCGGCCAGGACGCCCUGAGGCCCGGAUUCAGCGGCCGAUCCCUCCGGGACAGCGGGCGGUGGGGGGGCGGCGGGCUGGCUCUCCCUCCCUCCCGUCCGAUAAAGCUGUGUAACUGA
Molecule: long non-coding RNA, 207 nt
Organism: Choloepus didactylus (southern two-toed sloth)
Lineage: Eukaryota; Metazoa; Chordata; Mammalia; Pilosa; Megalonychidae
Exons: 2
Source: RefSeq, a predicted model, not a curated record